Maniola jurtina (meadow brown) is the source of this 1046-nucleotide long non-coding RNA. RefSeq lists it as uncharacterized. The transcript is spliced from 3 exons. NCBI's taxonomy places the organism in Eukaryota, Metazoa, Arthropoda, Insecta, Lepidoptera, Nymphalidae. The record is from RefSeq and is a predicted model, not a curated record.
AAUUUCUCAUUCAGUUUGAAUUAGAUAAACCUUACUCGAUUUUCAACAUAUUCCCUGAAAUUGAGGAGAUCCUAAUUGCUGGCAGCCUUUGUUUUACAACUAGAUCCCCCUGUCAAUGUCAUUCAACUGCCAAAAGAUCCUUGGUACAUCUCUAUCGCGGCACCACUGAAGCGCGACUCGAAGUCCACCCGAUUCCCGAAAGAAUUGUUGGAUAUUCUCUACCCUUAAAAAUGGGGAUGAAGUUUGUUGAUGAUAAAAAUUCGUCAUUGUUAAUCAUAAUUCACGAUUUUUGGAAAUUCCACCCCCUUGCCGAUUUUCAAAAUUCCGCUAGAGCGUAGCCGUGGCGGUAUCCACACCAGCCAUCCAGGCUCGCUCCUGAAGCUUAUUAGACUGCCGAGGUUGCCGAGGGCUUCAUGGAGUGAGGUUAGAACCUCAAAACUUUUUAAGUGGUCCCCGCUUUAUACUAAUGUUACCCGUUUCUAUUGUACCUUUAUUUACAAUUUCUUACGUAUAGGCAUAAAAAGAAAAAAUGUUUUAUCAUACAAAUUUAAUCCAUUUGCUAAUAAUAUUAAUAAUAUAAAUAUAUUAUACAAAUGCGUAUUGUCUUGUAAACUAAAAUAUCGCAUUGAAGCCACAACAUAAAUGAGUUAUACUAUUAUAUUUUAUACUAGAGCAAUGGUACCUACCUAUCACGAAUUUAUCGGAAUGUCUAGCUGUAUCAUUAAAAAACACAAAGCGUAAUAUAGGUUUGUAAACAAACUAUUAAUAUGGUAACAGCUUUCAGUAUCAAAGAACUACCCAUACAUUUUUUACACUAACGUUAGCGACACAUCGAGAUGGCAAUGGGGGUGGGGACGCCCUGAUUGUCAUGUCGACCUAUCGCGAAGAAUAUUACAUUACUGAACGAGACCAGAAAGUUAGCGUUUUCUGGUCGAGUGUGAGUUAGACGGCCGAGCCUUGGCGAGGACGUCUAUAACAUGAGAUCAGAAAGGCAUUCCCGGUCGAGGCAUGUAUAGUGCUUUUCUAAAAAAAAUGAAACUAAUAGG